Molecule: microRNA, 24 nt
Filed under: Caenorhabditis elegans
Lineage: Eukaryota; Metazoa; Nematoda; Chromadorea; Rhabditida; Rhabditidae
Description: cel-miR-5548-3p
Source: miRBase by way of RNAcentral
AGCCCUGUGGAUUGGAGAAGGAGA